CUGGCUCAGAACGAACGCUGGCGGCGCGUUUAAGCAUGCAAGUCGAGCGGCAAGGGCCUUCGGGCCCCUAGAGCGGCGGACGGGUGAGUAACACGUGGACAAUCUGCCCCCCGGCCCGGGAUAGCCCAGGGAAACCUGGAUUAAUACCGGAUGAGACGGGACCCGCGAUGGCGGGAUCCGGGAAAGGCGCUGCGGCGCCGCCGGGGGAUGAGUCUGCGUCCCAUUAGCUAGACGGCGGGGUAACGGCCCACCGUGGCGACGAUGGGUAGCCGGCCUGAGAGGGUGGACGGCCACAUUGGAACUGAGACACGGUCCAGACUCCUACGGGAGGCAGCAGCUAAGAAUCUUCCGCAAUGGGCGAAAGCCUGACGGAGCGACGCCGCGUGAACGAAGAAGGCCGUGAGGUUGUAAAGUUCUUUUCGGGAGGGGGAACAACCGUGGCAGGGAAUGGCCGCGGGAUGACGUGAAUCCCGGAAUAAGCCCCGGCUAACUACGUGCCAGCAGCUGC
This 508-nucleotide ribosomal RNA is filed under the name uncultured bacterium. RNAcentral's name for it is "bacterial SSU rRNA". It matches the Rfam family "Bacterial small subunit ribosomal RNA", at positions 19 to 518 of the family's 1533-position model. The record is from RNAcentral.